RNAcentral lists this ribosomal RNA (303 nucleotides) under uncultured bacterium. Its description in RNAcentral is "partial 16S ribosomal RNA". It matches the Rfam family "Bacterial small subunit ribosomal RNA", at positions 507 to 808 of the family's 1533-position model. The record is from RNAcentral.
AGCAGUCGCCGCGGUAAUACGAAGGGUGCAAGCGUUACUCGGAAUUACUGGGCGUAAAGCGUGCGUAGGUGGUGGUUUAAGUCCGUUGUGAAAGCCCUGGGCUCAACCUGGGAAUUGCAGUGGAUACUGGGUCACUAGAGUGUGGUAGAGGAUAGUGGAAUUUCCGGUGUAGCAGUGAAAUGCGUAGAGAUCGGAAGGAACAUCUGUGGCGAAGGCGACUAUCUGGGCCAACACUGACACUGAGGCACGAAAGCGUGGGGAGCAAACAGGAUUAGAGACCCCCGUAGUCCCGUCUCUUAUACC